AGUGAGCUGGCUGAGCUGGUUUAAGGCAACGGUCUUGAAAACCGUCGUACGUUAAUAGCGUACCUAGGGUUCGAAUCCCUAGCUCACUACCA
Molecule: transfer RNA, 92 nt
Filed under: Marisediminitalea aggregata
Lineage: Bacteria; Pseudomonadati; Pseudomonadota; Gammaproteobacteria; Alteromonadales; Alteromonadaceae
Also listed under: 1 other name
Rfam family: tRNA
About the family: Transfer RNA (tRNA) molecules are approximately 80 nucleotides in length. Their secondary structure includes four short double-helical elements and three loops (D, anti-codon, and T loops).
Source: RNAcentral